This 253-nucleotide ribosomal RNA is filed under the name uncultured bacterium. Its description in RNAcentral is "partial 16S ribosomal RNA". It matches the Rfam family "Bacterial small subunit ribosomal RNA", at positions 524 to 776 of the family's 1533-position model. The record is from RNAcentral.
UACGUAGGGUGCGAGCGUUAAUCGGAAUUACUGGGCGUAAAGCGCGCGCAGGCGGCUUCGCGCGCCCGACGUGAAAGCCCCCGGCUUAACCGGGGAGAGUCGUUGGGGACGGCGGAGCUUGAGGGCGGGAGAGGUCGGUGGAAUUCCGAGUGUAGAGGUGAAAUUCGUAGAUAUUCGGAAGAACACCAGUGGCGAAGGCGGCUCACUGGACGACUGUUGACGCUGAGGUGCGAAAGCGUGGGGAGCAAACAGG